Molecule: transfer RNA, 63 nt
Filed under: Mactra antiquata
Lineage: Eukaryota; Metazoa; Mollusca; Bivalvia; Venerida; Mactridae
Description: tRNA-Gly
Source: RNAcentral
GUAGCAGGAGUAUGGUAAGUAUGUCUACUUUCCAAGUAGAAGGUCCUUUUGUAGGUUGCUAUU